Molecule: ribosomal RNA, 479 nt
Filed under: uncultured bacterium
Lineage: Bacteria
Description: partial 16S ribosomal RNA
Rfam family: Bacterial small subunit ribosomal RNA
Source: RNAcentral
GAUGAACGCUGGCGGCGUGCUUAACACAUGCAAGUCGAACGAAGUGUUUAUUCAAAGUUCUUCGUGAUAGAGAAUAAAUUACUUAGUGGCGGACGGGUGAGUAACGCGUGGGUAACCUGCCUCACACCGGGGGAUAACAGUUGGUAACGACUGCUACUACCGCAUAGUACCACAGCACCGCAUGGUGCAGGGGUAAAAGAUUUAUCGGUGUGAGAUGGACCUGCGUCUGAUUAGAUAGUUGGUGGGGUAGAAGCCUACCAAGGCAACGAUCAGUAGCCGAGCUGAGAGGGUGAUCGGCCACAUUGGGACUGAGACACGGCCCAAACUCCUACGGGAGGCAGCAGUGGGGAAUAUUGGACAAUGGGGGAAACCCUGAUCCAGCAACGCCGCGUGAGUGAAGAAGUAUUUCGGUAUGUAAAGCUCUAUCAGCAGGGAAGAAAAUGACGGUACCUGACUAAGAAGCCCCGGCUAACUACGUG